RNAcentral lists this long non-coding RNA (268 nucleotides) under Olea europaea subsp. europaea. Lineage: Eukaryota; Viridiplantae; Streptophyta; Magnoliopsida; Lamiales; Oleaceae. The record is from RNAcentral.
CCAUCUUAAAGGCCAAAAUCGAGGACAGAAAUGCAUCCAAAUAAAAUCGGUCUCAAAUUUCAAGUCGCAACUAAAAAAUGUACAAACAAGAAAAGGGUUCACUCGAAAAGUUUAACUACCACUGGUACAUAAUCAUUAAGAUGACAUAACAUAGUAAAUGCACAUUGCCUAGAAAGGGCCCGAGCGCGUUCUGCGCAGGUGAUACUUGGGUUCUGGUGGCGGUAUACUAGGUAACACCUUCUCCAGUUCCUGCAAGUACACUUACAAU